CCGAAUUCGCCCUCGCGGGCAGAGUUCCCACCCGUGCCUAAUUACCUUUGUUGCUUUGGCAGGCCGCCAGGCCUCCUGCCGCCGGCCCACGCUGGCGAGCGCCUGCCAGAGGACCCUAACCCUGAAUAUAAGUGUCGUCUGAGCAAAAUAUAAUAAAGUUA
Molecule: unclassified non-coding RNA, 161 nt
Filed under: uncultured Leotiomycetes
Lineage: Eukaryota; Fungi; Ascomycota; Leotiomycetes
Description: sequence contains ITS1
Source: RNAcentral